AACCUGGUUGAUCCUGCCAGUAGUCAUAUGCUUGUCUCAGAGAUUAAGCCAUGCAUGUCUAAGUACAAACCUUUAAACGGUGAAACCGCGAAUGGCUCAUUAAAUCAGCUAUGGUUCCUUAGAUCGUACAUACUACAUGGAUAACUGUAGUAAUUCUAGAGCUAAUACAUGCCACUAUGCCCUGACCCGCGAGGGAACGGGUGGAUUUAUUAGAACAGAACCAACCGGGGGCGGCUUCGGUCGUUCCUGUUGCAUUCUGUGAUGACUCUGGAUAACUUCACUGAUCGCAGUCGGCCUUGUGUCGGCGACGGAUCUUUCAAAUGUCUGCCCUAUCAAUUUUCGAUGGUAGGUGACCUGCCUACCAUGGUGCUAACGGGUAACGGGGAAUCAGGGUUCGAUUCCGGAGAGGGAGCCUGAGAAACGGCUACCACUUCCAAGGAAGGCAGCAGGCACGCAAAUUACCCAAUCCCGGCACGGGGAGGUAGUGACGAAAAAUACGGAUACGGGACUCACUAGAGGCUCCGUAAUUCGAAUGAGUACAUUUUAAAUCCUUUAACGAGGAUCAACUGGAGGGCAAGUCUGGUGCCAGCAGCCGCGGUAACUCCAGCUCCAGAAGCGUAUAUUAAAGUUGUUGCAGUUAAAAAGCUCGUAGUUGGAUCUGGGUUGCAUGGCUACACGCCGUCGCUCGUUGGUCUGGCCUGGUUUCCACCGGGUUGAGCUUGCGAGUCGGUUUCGUGGUUGUGCUUCCUUUCUGCUGUGUCUGUUUACAGGUGUCAGCGUGACCGGUGGGCUUGCCUGCUGGUCUGUUGGCAUGCUUCUUGGUGCCUUUAAACGGGUGUCGGAGGCGGACAGCACGUUUACUUUGAACAAAUUUGAGUGCUCAAAGCAGGCCUUUGUGCCUGAAAAUUCUUGCAUGGAAUAAUGGAAUAGGACUUCGGUUCUAUUUUGUUGGUUUUCGGAUCCGAAGUAAUGGUUAAGAGGGACAGACGGGGGCAUUUGUAUGGCGGUGUUAGAGGUGAAAUUCUUGGAUCGCCGCCAGACAAACUACAGCGAAAGCAUUUGCCAAGGAUGUUUUCAUUGAUCUUGAGCGAAAGUCAGAGGUUCGAAGACGAUCAGAUACCGUCCUAGUUCUGACCAUAAACGAUGCCAACUGACGAUCCGUGGCGGUUCUUUAUGUGUCCCCACGGGCAGUCCCCGGGAAACCCUUAAGUCUUUGGGCUCCGGGGGAAGUAUGGUUGCAAAGCUGAAACUUAAAGGAAUUGACGGAAGGGCACCACCAGGAGUGGAGCCUGCGGCUUAAUUCGACUCAACACGGAAAACUCACCCGGCCCGGACACUGUGAGGAUUGACAGAUUGAUAGCUCUUUCUUGAUUCGGUGGUUGGUGGUGCAUGGCCGUUCUUAGUUGGUGGAGCGAUUUGUCUGGUUAAUUCCGAUAACGAAUGAGACUUUGGCCUGCUAAAUAGUAUGCCUGUCCUCUGUGCUCGUGCAGGUUUCGUUGUCCAUUGCCUCCUCGUGGGGUAGUGGUUACGUUGACCGGCGAAUGCGGCGCAGGUAAUUACUUCUUAGAGGGACAAGCGGCCUUCAGUCGCACGAAAAUGAGCAAUAACAGGUCUGUGAUGCCCUUAGAUGUCCGGGGCCGCACGUGCGCUACAAUGACGGUUUCAGCGAGUUUGGAAUCCUGGCCUGAGCAGGUCGGGUAAACUGUAUCAUAACCGUCGUGACUGGGAUCGGGGCUUGCAAUUGUUCCCCGUGAACGAGGAAUUCCUGGUAAGUGCAAGUCAUAAGCUUGCGCUGAUUACGUCCCUGCCCUUUGUACACACCGCCCGUCGCUACUACCGAUUGAAUGGUUUAGCGAGGUCCUCGGAUUGGUGCCAUUGUAGUGGCUUCGGCCGCUCGACCGGUGCUGAGAAGACGACCAAACUUGAUCAUUUAGAGGAAGUAAAAGUCGUAACAAGGUUUCCGUAGGUGAACCUGCAG
Molecule: ribosomal RNA, 1978 nt
Filed under: Fasciolopsis buskii
Lineage: Eukaryota; Metazoa; Platyhelminthes; Trematoda; Plagiorchiida; Fasciolidae
Description: SSU rRNA
Rfam family: Eukaryotic small subunit ribosomal RNA
Source: RNAcentral